UACGGAGGGUGCGAGCGUUGUCCGGAAUCACUGGGCGUAAAGGGCGCGUAGGCGGCGCGGGGAGUCAUCGGUGAAAGUUCAGGGCUCAACUCUGAAUCGGCCGGUGAUACUCCCGUGCUCGAGCACUGUAGAGGCAGGUGGAAUUCCGGGUGUAGCGGUGGAAUGCGUAGAGAUCGGGAGGAACAUCAGUUGCGAAGGCGGCUCUCUGGACCAGCACUGACACUGAGGCACGAAAGCGUGGGGAGCAAACAGG
This 253-nucleotide ribosomal RNA is filed under the name uncultured bacterium. Its description in RNAcentral is "partial 16S ribosomal RNA". It matches the Rfam family "Bacterial small subunit ribosomal RNA", at positions 524 to 776 of the family's 1533-position model. The record is from RNAcentral.